UUUAUAUACUAUCUUGUCCCAAAAAUAUAUAAAAGAAAUUUAAAAUUUUACAGUAAAAGAGAAAAUAACUCAAUAACAUAAAUUGGAAAUAGGCAUGAUGGGAAAAAAUGUGAAACAACAAAGGCAGGAACAUAAAAUGAAACCUACAAUGAAGCUAAUACAAAAAGUCAUAAAGCAAACCACCUCGUAACCUAAGUGAAAUAUUCUUGGUGAUUAUAGUCAUUUCUGUUUAUGGCAGCUUAAACUGUCUUUAGAGUUCUCUUUGGAGGGGGAUUCUCUUGAUAGAUUCCAUUUGUUCAUACUGUAAGUAUGGCAAGUGUGGCACACACAGGCUGGCUGCUCUUACUUCCCCCGUGACUCAUGCAACUAUUUCCUUGUUGACCGUGUGGGUGAAGGAGGACGAACUCGUUGAGAGGAAAUUCCUGAGAUGCAUGUGCCAUCUGCUGGGCACAGAGUGGGUGCUUAGUUAACAGGUGUAGCGAGAUGACAUACUAUAAUACUCCGGAUGCACUUUUCUUUCCCUGUGCAAUCAGAGACACACAUUUGUAGGAGAAUAAAGUUGUUAUGGCAGGAAUGGGAAGAGAAAGAGCCAGUCAAUAUUUUGUUUCAGAAUUCCAAAAUAGGUUUUGAAAGCCACAUCAGUACAAUCAUUUUGAAAGUCAAGGCUUUUGAUUUUCUAAAAUAGUAUUUGAUUAGAGGAAAAAAAAUAUCCUUGAAGAUAAAAAAGUCAAGUUCUCUGAUAGAUUGGAAUUAAGCAUAGAGUAAGACCAAGAUCACACUGACCGCAGGGAGAGUAGGCGAGCAUCAGCCUGGGAGGGAGCAAGAAGAAUCAUGGGGUCAGUAGGGUGGGCAGUAAAGGGGCUGAAUUGAGUGACUCCGCGGAUAGACAAAGUCGGCACCGAGGUUUCUCUACACUGUUUUUCUUAGUGUCGGGAAUUGGAGACAUCUGUAGACCGUCCAAUGUCAUGGCAGCUAGCACUGCGUCAUGCCUGUUUUGCAGAGCCAUGAUAGCUGUUCUGCUUGAGUCUAGUGACAGCCAUCAUUAACAGCCAACUGCACGUUGUUGCUUAUGGAUUGUUCAUCAGAAGUGUCUGUCUGAAUUUUAAGAAUUGCUGAGCAGCAUUCAAAUCACCCUAUAUGGACAUCUCAUUUUGAAUGGCUCAAGAAAUAUAUAAAUCUACAAAACAGAAAAUGCUGUGUUUGGUUUAGAGAGAGGAGUAAAGGAAAGCCACCGGGGUCUGUGGGAAUGAAUUGUGCUGAAAGAUCGGCUGUGUGUAGCCCUCGUUCAAAGAGAGAGAAAGAGAAAGAGAAUCUCUUUUGGAUGAGUCCACUCUUCCACUUGCUUUGAAGACUAAUAUAAAGUAGUUUCUAUGAUACCUGCCCAUAAUUUACAUAAAAAAUAUUAGGCUACGUUGAGGAUUCGUUGCUGAGAUAAACACUAGGGAAGGUGUCUCCCUCUGUGGAUCUUCCAUCCUUGUGCGGACAGCCCACACUGAACCAAUAGUCACUCUGAUAAACAUACAGUUCACACGCUUGUGAGUGCUCAAGAAGAAAGUUCUGUUGUCCUCAGAAAGAGUAUGUUAAAGAGGUAGCUUAGAAUGGGAGGCUCAGGGAAUAGUUUCCCUUAUGCCAAGACCUGAAACAGGCGUAGAGUUAGUUGGGAAUAGGGGCAUGGAGGGGACAAGGGUGGCGCUGGGGAAGGGAGGAGUGUUCCAAGCAGAAGAGAAGGCCUGGGCAAGUUCUCACAGUAGAGAAAAGUAUUGACUCUGAGGCUCUGGAAGAAAGUCAGAGCAUCCAGAGCAAGGAGGUAAAGAGGAAGUGGUGGUGAGUCCUGAACACUUGUCACAGCCAGGCGAUCAAGACCUUGCAUGCCAGGUUAAGGACUUUGGUCUUUAUCCAAAAAGUGGUGUGAAGUUGUGGUGGGUUUUAAACACCAGGAUGACACCAUCAAAUCUGCAUUUUGAAAAUAUCAUUCUGUAUCUUACAAUUUAUGGAAAAUAAAUUGGUGAGAGAGGCCAGAAAGGAUGGAGGGAGAUGAACGGGGAGGCUGGAGAAAGAUUCUUGGUGAGAGAUGAUGAUAGCUUAGCCUAAAGAUGCCAUCAUGAAGACAGACUGAAAGGUACUGAGGGAGUCAAUAAUGGAUGAAAAUGAUCGUGGGGCCAGAAGUGACUUGUAGCUUUAUGACAUAAACAAUCAGACAUAUGGUGACAUCAGUAACUACAGGAAGCAACAUUGGAAGAUAGCUAUGUUCAAGGUGUGGGAGAGAUCUUAAGUGAGUUGUUCAACACAUCAUCUUAAGACACUUUUUAGAUACCCAAAACAUAGAUAUUUGGACAUAUGGGUCUAGAGCCCAGAGGAGAGGUCUGGAAUGAAGUCACAGCCCAGAUAGAAAGUGAAGCAGGACAAAGAUUGUUUCUGUGGGGAAAGAGUGAAGAGUGCAGAACGAGGAGGCCAGAGCCUCAGGAAUUCUAACGUUAACUAUAAACCCUGUCGGUUUUGAGGACAUAGAGCAGGAGUGUUAAAAUUCUUAAAGUUGCCUCAGGGGCUGCAAGAGAACAAAAGGCAAAGCAUCUGGGGACCCAGAUCCCCCCCAGCUCCACCUGAAGCAGCUCUCCUCCUCCUGUUUGGAAUGGAGCUCCAGUUUUGCUAAAACAAAUCAGACCUCUGUGAACAUCUGCAUAAUGUCUCUGGGAUUAUGGGCAAGAGUUUCUGAUGGUUUUAUACCUGGAAUUGGAUUUUGGUGUCAUGACUUCUCCCGGAUAUCGUCAGAUCAUUUUCCAAAGUUAUUUUGUCAAAUUACGUUCCACCAACAUUUGUUCCACAUCCUCACAAACACUGAGUAUUGUCAGACUUUUCAAUAUUUUUCAUCUG
RNAcentral lists this long non-coding RNA (2871 nucleotides) under Equus caballus (horse). Its description in RNAcentral is "lncRNA (ENSECAG00000058145.1)". The record is from RNAcentral. Lineage: Eukaryota; Metazoa; Chordata; Mammalia; Perissodactyla; Equidae.